GGCUCAUUGGUCAAGCGGUUAAGACGCCGCCCUCUCACGGCGGAAACAGCGGUUCGAUUCCGCUAUGAGCUA
This 72-nucleotide transfer RNA is filed under the name Lachnospiraceae bacterium. Its description in RNAcentral is "tRNA-Glu". It matches the Rfam family "tRNA". From Rfam's summary of the family: Transfer RNA (tRNA) molecules are approximately 80 nucleotides in length. Their secondary structure includes four short double-helical elements and three loops (D, anti-codon, and T loops). The record is from RNAcentral. Lineage: Bacteria; Bacillati; Bacillota; Clostridia; Lachnospirales; Lachnospiraceae. RNAcentral also lists the same sequence under 1 other name.